Molecule: ribosomal RNA, 415 nt
Filed under: uncultured prokaryote
Description: bacterial SSU rRNA
Rfam family: Bacterial small subunit ribosomal RNA
Source: RNAcentral
GUGCCAGCCGCCGCGGUAAUACAGAGGAUGCAAGCGUUAUCCGGAAUCACUGGGCAUAAAGCGUCUGUAGGUUGUUUAGUAAGUCUGCUGUUAAAGACUGGGGCUUAACCCCAGAAAAGCAGUGGAAACUGCUAGACUUGAGUGUGGUAGAGGUAGAGGGAAUUCCUAGUGUAGCGGUGAAAUGCGUAGAUAUUAGGAAGAACACCAAUGGCGAAGGCACUCUACUGGGCCAUAACUGACACUGAGAGACGACAGCUAGGGGAGCAAACGGGAUUAGAUACCCCGGUAGUCCUAGCCGUAAACGAUGGAUACUAGAUGUUGCACGUAUUAACCCGUGCAGUAUCGUAGCUAAGGCGUUAAGUAUCCCGCCUGGGAAGUACGCUCGCAAGAGUGAAACUCAAAGGAAUUGGCGGGG